AGACAGGCUUCCUAGGGAUGGAACCAACGGGAGAGGAAAAAUUAGACAAUCCAGUGGUACUCCCGGCUCCUCUCCUCACAUGUAACACCUAACUCUAAACUGCCACAUAAGAAAGACGAAGGAUAAAUGAACGGAAGAUAAUUUAAAAUCCAAUUUAGCGUAAAUUUUGUUUUAAUCUUGUGUCUUGAAGAGAUGCAAAUUCAAAAAAAAAAAGAUUUAAUUCAAAGGUAAUUCAGGGUAUGGAGAGCAGCUCACAAUGCAGAAUCCAGAGUAAUUAUUCCGUGUGCAUGUGAGGUUAGUGGCUGGAAUAGAUUUUUAACGCUUCUUCUGGCAAUUACGGUUUUUGGUUUUUGGAGCGUUAGUGGAGGAGGCUCUGUGUGGAGAAGCUGGGGGCCGGCUCCGUCCCUCGGUGGAGCAUGGUCAUUCCCAAAGCGUCCCCUU
Molecule: long non-coding RNA, 441 nt
Filed under: Homo sapiens (human)
Lineage: Eukaryota; Metazoa; Chordata; Mammalia; Primates; Hominidae
Description: HSALNT0185924
Source: RNAcentral